AUACGGAGGAUCCGAGCGUUAUCCGGAUUUAUUGGGUUUAAAGGGAGCGUAGGCGGAGGAUCAAGUCAGCUGUGAAAUGUAGACGCUCAACGUCUGCACUGCAGUUGAAACUGGUCCCCUUGAGUGCGUAAGGGGCAGGCGGAAUUCGUCGUGUAGCGGUGAAAUGCUUAGAUAUGACGAAGAACUCCGAUCGCGAAGGCGGGUUGCCGGGCCGCAACUGACGCUGAAGCUCGAAGGUGCGGGUAUCGAACAGGAUUAGAUACCCUGGUAGUCCGCACAGUAAACGAUGGAUACUCGCUGUCGGCGAUAUACGGUCGGUGGCCAAGCGAAAGCGUUAAGUAUCCCACCUGGGGAGUACGCCGGCAACGGUGAAACUCAAAUGAAUUGGCGGGG
This 393-nucleotide ribosomal RNA is filed under the name uncultured bacterium. RNAcentral describes it as "partial 16S ribosomal RNA". It matches the Rfam family "Bacterial small subunit ribosomal RNA", at positions 523 to 918 of the family's 1533-position model. The record is from RNAcentral.